This 30-nucleotide non-coding RNA is filed under the name Trypanosoma brucei brucei. The record is from RNAcentral. Lineage: Eukaryota; Euglenozoa; Kinetoplastea; Trypanosomatida; Trypanosomatidae.
AAUUAUGAUUGAGUUUGUUGUUAUUGUGAA